UCGAGAAUUUUUCUCAAUGGGGGAAACCCUGAAGGAGCGACGCCGCGUGGAGGAUGAAGGUCUUCGGAUUGUAAACUCCUGUCAUUUGGGAACAAACGUUCCGGUUAACUGCCGGAGAAUUGAUAGUACCAGAAGAGGAAGAGACGGCUAACUCUGUGCCAGCAGCCGCGGUAAUACAGAGGUCUCAACCGUUGUUCGGAUUCAUUGGGCGUAAAGGGUGCGUAGGCGGUCUGGCAAGUCGGAUGUGAAAUCUCAGGGCUCAACCCUGAAACUGCAUUCGAUACUGCCGGGCUUGAGUACUGGAGGGGAGACUGGAAUUUACGGUGUAGCAGUGAAAUGCGUAGAUAUCGUAAGGAAGACCAGUGGCGAAGGCGAGUCUCUGGACAGUUACUGACGCUGAGGCACGAAGGCCAGGGGAGCAAACGG
Molecule: ribosomal RNA, 426 nt
Filed under: uncultured bacterium
Lineage: Bacteria
Description: bacterial SSU rRNA
Rfam family: Bacterial small subunit ribosomal RNA
Source: RNAcentral